Molecule: unclassified non-coding RNA, 295 nt
Filed under: uncultured fungus
Lineage: Eukaryota; Fungi
Description: partial contains 5.8S ribosomal RNA, internal transcribed spacer 2, and large subunit ribosomal RNA
Rfam family: 5.8S ribosomal RNA (bases 1-52)
Source: RNAcentral
AACGCACAUUGCGCCCUCUGGUAUUCCGGAGGGCAUGCCUGUUUGAGUGUCAUUAAUCUCUCACAAGACCUUCUUGGUCUCUGCUGAUGUUGGGAUGUGCGACCCCCUCCGGGGACGCUCUCCUCAAAUGAAUUGGUGCGGCCCGCCGCCCGGUUACACAACGUUCUAGGUUCGUCCAACUCGUUGCUUGACUGGCGCAACUUUGGUGCUGCACCUAAAGCCCGCCUUGUGCCUUGUGCUCUUGGCUACUUCAUUUAUUGACCUCAGAUCAGGUAGGAAUACGCGCUGAACUUAA